GGUCAUAUCACGUGGAAACAUCGGUUCACAUAUAGUCACCGAAGUUAAGCAACGCUGAACUUGGUCAGUACCUAGAUGGGUAACCGCUUGGGAAUACUAGGAGCUGUAAG
Molecule: non-coding RNA, 110 nt
Organism: Acanthosepion pharaonis
Lineage: Eukaryota; Metazoa; Mollusca; Cephalopoda; Sepiida; Sepiidae
Source: the annotation of a GenBank genome assembly